Hibiscus syriacus is the source of this 1944-nucleotide long non-coding RNA. RefSeq lists it as uncharacterized. The record is from RefSeq and is a predicted model, not a curated record. The transcript is spliced from 4 exons. Lineage: Eukaryota; Viridiplantae; Streptophyta; Magnoliopsida; Malvales; Malvaceae.
CAGAAACGUACUUCGAAAUUCUGGUUAGUGUAGCCGGUCAACUGUUGCAGGAACAAGACGGUGAGAGGCAAUCUUCGAAGUUCAGCCUUUCUGAUCAGGGAACUUGUGAUGAGAAAAACUUUAUCAAUUACCGCCGAAUCUAUGCAUUGAACAAGUUUUCCUGUGCUCUGUACCGGUUUAAUUCGAAAACCUGUUCAAAUUUAAAGAGCUUUGAUCAGUUGGCUAAUGUCAGUGGUAGAAAUGUAAAACCCUUCUGCUUUAGUAGGCAUUCCUUCUCUAGUAUCUCCGGAAUUUUUCAAAGCGAAAGUAGAGGAAGCUGGAGGUGAGCAUUCAAUUAUUCAAACUGUAAAAAGUGAAACUAUUCCACGUACAGGUGGUUUGGAUGUGUCGGAAAGGGACCACAAACAUCCUGGUUUUUUCUAUUCAGUAAGCAGGGCAUCCAUGUUCAAGAACUGGAUAACUUUUGGUUCUUCUAGGCAUUCCGGUACUACAGAGACAUUCAAUAGAGAUGAUGAAAAGAUUAUUUCGGUUGCAGUCAGGCAGCGACCACAUUGAAGGCUUUUAGGGUACCAUCGAGCAUUGCGGAUCGAGGAAUUAAGAACCUGUCUUCAUCCCGACAUCGGAUAGUAUUUACUAAUUCAAAUGGUGGGGCUUCCAUCAGAAAUUAUGGGAAAAGAAGAAUGCUUUCCGGUGAUGGGGGAAUUAGUUAUAUUCGUCAAAGAUCAAAGAGGGUCUCUCCUUUCAAGAGAAGAUGUUUCUUCAGUCACCGCCCAUUCUCAUCGAGGCUUUCAGCUUUAUAACAGAUUCGAUUCGGGUAACAAGAGAAGCGGUGGUGACAACUCUAGUGCAGGUUCAAUAUGUCUACCAGCUUUUGUUUUUUGUUCAGUUUUUGCUGAAUAACCCGAACUCUUACGUGCAGCCAUUAGAGUGGAAUCGUCAAUUGCAAGUCUUCGUCUGCUUCUUGGUUGCCGAUAACGUAAUGGUAUGAAGAUCGUUAAUGCAAUGUUUUAGUAUCUGAUCAGAUGGCCGUGUGAUCCAUCCAGUCUUUAACCUUUCUUUCUUUUCGUUGUCGGGUUUAUUCAGUGAAGAUUCGGAUUAAAUCGUUUUACAGUUCCAGAGCUCUUAGUUUAGAUUCCUACAACUGCUACUGUUGGUUCACUGAAAGACAGUCAUGGAGGCAGUAACUACUGUACCUCGGAGAUGGCUUAAGUGUCGGCAUCCUUCUUCGAGGAAAGAAGGUUAGAGACGACAGAAAAACUCUACUACAGACAGGUAUUUCUCGAGACAGCAAGCAUCGUAAUUUGGGGUUUAUGUUGGAGCCCAGAAACAUGCAGAUUAUAGCACCUCUGUCCCUCGCAAAGCAGAUUAUACCUCCUGUGACUGGUUGCAACAAUGGCGCUGAAGGUGACUUGCAUCUAAUUCCGUCUCUUCCGCACAUAUCAACUAAUUUUACUAUUCCGAGUUCUCAAUCUGUUCCGCACAUAUCAACUAAUUUUACCAUUCCGAGUUAUCAAUCUAUACUAUCGAUAUCGGCCAUAUAGACUAUUUUACUAUUCCGAGUUCUCAAUCUAUUCCGCACAUAUCAACUAGUUUUACUAGUCCGAGUUCUCAAUCUGUACUAUCAAUAUCGGCCAUUAGUGUGGAGGCAUUGACUGUGGUUCCGAUUCAUCACAGAGUUAGACAUCAUGAGUUUGUCCAGCGGCUUAUCAGAAGACCCUUAUCUGUUUCGGAAGUAGAAGCAUUGGUCCAGGCAGUCGAGAAACUAGGAACCGGAAGGUGGCGUGAUGUCAAAUUACGCGCUUUUGACAAUGCAAAGCAUCGUACGUAUGUGGAUUUGAAGGUGAAUGGUCCAUUUCUGUUACUUCUUCAGUUUGCGGGUUCAUUAUUGCAAUUCCCUACCAACUGUCAUGGCUCUGAAUAUCUUUAGAACAGCAAUUUGUUUUU